UACGGAGGGGGCUAGCGUUGUUCGGAAUUACUGGGCGUAAAGCGCACGUAGGCGGCUUUGUAAGUUAGAGGUGAAAGCCUGGUGCUCAACACCAGAACUGCCUUUAAGACUGCAUCGCUUGAAUCAUGGAGAGGCGGGUGGAAUUCCGAGUGUAGAGGUGAAAUUCGUAGAUAUUCGCAAGAACACCAGUGGCGAAGGCGGCUCACUGGCCCGGUACUGACGCUGAGGUGCGAAAGCGUGGGGAGCAAACAGG
This 253-nucleotide ribosomal RNA is filed under the name uncultured bacterium. RNAcentral describes it as "partial 16S ribosomal RNA". It matches the Rfam family "Bacterial small subunit ribosomal RNA", at positions 524 to 776 of the family's 1533-position model. The record is from RNAcentral.